Long non-coding RNA from Brassica rapa (field mustard), 704 nucleotides. RefSeq lists it as uncharacterized. Lineage: Eukaryota; Viridiplantae; Streptophyta; Magnoliopsida; Brassicales; Brassicaceae. The record is from RefSeq and is a predicted model, not a curated record.
UCCACAAAAUAUAUUAUAUAUGUGGUUUUCAAGCUCUGCAAAAUAUACAGAAAUUCAUCCACAGAAAAUAACAUUAUUGUUUGGUCAUGACCAAGGUUAAGCGUAAACCAAGACGGUGCGUUUGCUGCAUAGUCUCUGGUAUUGUCUUCGUUGUCUUCCUUGUCUUUAUCAGUGCCUUGAUCUUUGCAUUUGCCACUUACAAAGCCAAAACCAAAAACCAAUGAUUCGGAUCCAGACUACAGCUGUACAAAGCAUCUCCUCGCAUAUAGUAGUGUCCAUAUUCUUAUGAAGGAUUGUGUGAGUUUCAAACAUGAGACAGGGAAGACAGUAGUUUGUAUACAAGGAGAAGCAAGUGAGUAAUAUUGAUCUUCCCUCAGUCUGAAGUGGCAUAAGUGGAAAGAUUGUGUCGGAAACAAAGACAGAUCCCAGAGAAAAUCAAGUUGUUGGGACAUCUUCAAGAAACACACUUAGUUGCUAUAUUAUUGAAAGAUCAGCGUUGACUUCCCUUCCAUGAAAGUGCAGAGUCAAGAAUGUGAUUGUAUUCUUCAUUGUCUUCCUUAGCUUUCAUUCUUUCCACUCCACUUGAAUUUUUGUAUCUUGUUUUUUUUUUUUUGAAGUACAUAUGUUAGAUUUAGAACUGCUUUCUGUUCAUGCUUAGAAAUUUGUAACAAAGUAGUAAAGAACAAACCAAGAAUUGAAUUCUA